RNAcentral lists this ribosomal RNA (419 nucleotides) under uncultured Prevotella sp. RNAcentral's name for it is "bacterial SSU rRNA". It matches the Rfam family "Bacterial small subunit ribosomal RNA", at positions 358 to 774 of the family's 1533-position model. Lineage: Bacteria; Pseudomonadati; Bacteroidota; Bacteroidia; Bacteroidales; Prevotellaceae. The record is from RNAcentral.
GGAAUAUUGGUCAAUGGGCGAGAGCCUGAACCAGCCAAGUAGCGUGCAGGAUGACGGCCCUAUGGGUUGUAAACUGCUUUUAUACGGGGAUAAAGUGAGGGACGUGUCCCUUUUUGCAGGUACCGUAUGAAUAAGGACCGGCUAAUUCCGUGCCAGCAGCCGCGGUAAUACGGAAGGUCCGGGCGUUAUCCGGAUUUAUUGGGUUUAAAGGGAGCGCAGGCCGAAGGUUAAGCGUGACGUGAAAUGUACCGGCUCAACCCGUGAGUUGCGGCGCGAACUGGCUUUCUUGAGUGCGUACGAGGAAGGCGGAAUUCGUGGUGUAGCGGUGAAAUGCUUAGAUAUCACGAAGAACUCCGAUUGCGCAGGCAGCCUUCCAGUCCGUUACUGACGCUAAAGCUCGAAGGUGCGGGUAUCGAACA